Long non-coding RNA from Bos taurus (domestic cattle), 2187 nucleotides. The record is from Ensembl. Lineage: Eukaryota; Metazoa; Chordata; Mammalia; Artiodactyla; Bovidae.
GUAUCAGGAACUAGUUUGAAGCGAUCAUAAAAAAGCUAUUGAGUACAACUGGUAUCACUCAACAUCUAUUGAGCAUCUACUCUUUGGAAAGCACUUCAGGUGUUCAAAGAUGACAACAACACUGUCUUCCUAGUGAAGACCACUUAACACAACUAAAGCUCUAAAAACACACAGCAAUAAACAAGUGCCAAGUGGUGGACAUCAACAGAGAGUGUCGACAGAUGGAAAGCGAACAGUUUCACCACGGCCUUCCAGGAUGAGGGAAGCGUUGAGCUUUGACGGACAGUAGGUAUUUUUUGUGUGUGCUUGUUUGUUUUUCAUGGCUUUUAGGGUUUGGAUACUGAGAUUUUAAACUGAUAAUCAUAUUCCUUUCCUACUCAAGUUCAAAGCCAACUGAUAACUAGCUGCUGUUAUCAGAGAGAAGCAUACGUUUUUAAUAGAGCUUUAUUGCAGAGAUUAAAUUACAAAAUGCCACUUGGCCUCUUGCCACCUGAUAUCCCCUUAUGUAAAUGUAGCACUCAGCUCUGGCAGGUUUGAACACCGGCGGGCUUCCCUACUGCGUCCCAGGUGGCUGCUAGUGGUAAAGAACCCACCUGCCAAAUGCAGGAGACUUGAGAUUCACGGGUUCAAUCCCUGGCUGGGGAAGAUCCCCUGGAGGAAGAAAUGACAACCCGCUCUAGGACUCUUGAGUGGACAUGAUUGAAGUGACUUCGCACACAUGCAUACAGGUAGGUCUCCCUAGUGGUAACAAGUCAAAACAGAACGUGCACAAGCCACGCACAUAGCAUUCCACGAAUGAGAGGAGCGGGAGCUGAGGUGAAGCCUGCUUAGUUCCUGCCCCAAGCUCCUCAGUCAGGCAAGUCACACCUUCUGCCGCAGGGAGGAGCGAGCAAAUCCCACCAAGAGAGGCCAGGAGGGCUUACUCUACAGAAAUAAGUCUUCUCACGGAAUCGGAAGUCCUGACAUCGAGGUUCCUUGCUAGCAUGAGGAUGAGGUGGACUUUAAGGAUCUGUUUUGGAAGGCACAAAGAGAACCACGACUGUUUCUUUCUCUCUGCCUUCCUAUUAUCACAAUUCUAAUCCUCCUGAAGGGACAGCUCUGACACUCAUCAGGAAAUGGUCGCACACUAUAAAGAGAAGAAAAGAAGAACACAGAGAUCGACAUUUCCAGCUACCAUCACAGCAUGUUCACUCCCUUAUUUAAUUUCCCUUUUUCUUAAGCCCCUUCUGUUGAGAGAAGACUCCUUUACUGAUAUUCCUCCCAAUAAUAUUUAUGAGCUUAGGAAGGCACCAGUGGUUCUCUCCAAAGUACAAGAGAAAUGACCAGAGUCAUGGGGAUUAUUUAGGACCCUUGAGGUUCUCAGCCUCAGACUGCUACUACAAGGAUCCCUGAAAAGAAAAUAGAGACAUUUUUACUAGCAUCUAAGGAAUUGGGCCUCACCCAUAAUCUAUCUUAUUUAUCUAUGCAGUGACCCAAGGUGAGCACAGUUACUCCUGGGAGCCUGCCCACACAUGGAUCAAUCCAAAGUGUCCUGCCUCGCAAGCUUAGGGUUUAAAUCAAGCCACUUCCCCCAGAAUAUGCAACCUGAACGACUGUACCCUCCAUUUACUACCAUGAGAACGUCUUCUUGUGAUGAGCCCAAAACCCUGUGGACUUAGCCUUCCCAAAGGGUAUGGCCCCAAGAGAGGAAAUGGAAAACGUGUUCCCUGUUUCACUUACUGUUGCUGUUGCCCUGUGUCGUCUGGACAACAGGUGGUCCAGAAACCUGUUGGAGGGACCGAGGUAGCACGCUGCUCUCACAGGCGUGGCAGUGUUGGUUCAGGCUGCAGGAGCACGGAGCUUUUCCCCACAGACGCUGCAGUCAGCUAGUAACCAGGCCUGAGAGCCCUACAGCAGGCAUGGGCUUGGCACCAUCAUAUGCCAUGAAAGCAAAUGCCAAGAGCGUUCUCCACGCAACUGCAGUAACUUCCCUACAUUCAAACCUUCAUGUUGCAAGCUCUCAAAGAUGUGAGCAUGUAAGUGAAAAUUCAGCUUGUACCCCAUCUCCUGCUGCCGAUGGUCCUUUGGCUCUGCCGUCUCUCACCCCCUCUCCUGCCUCCAGUCUGUAAGGCUUCUUGCCGGCUCAGUCAGUGCCAGCCCCUGUAUGCCAGCUACUGUAGUUUCAAGGUACUACUGUAAGAUUAAAAA